GACGAACGCUGGCGGCGUGCCUAAUACAUGCAAGUCGUGCGGACCUUUUAAAAGCUUGCUUUUAAAAGGUUAGCGGCGGACGGGUGAGUAACACGUGGGCAACCUGCCUGUAAGACUGGGAUAACGCCGGGAAACCGGGGCUAAUACCAGAUCGUUUUUUCCUCCGCAUGGAGGAAAAAGGAAAGGCGGCUUCGGCUGCCACUUACAGAUGGGCCCGCGGCGCAUUAGCUAGUUGGCGGGGUAACGGCCCACCAAGGCAACGAUGCGUAGCCGACCUGAGAGGGUGAGCGGCCACAUUGGGACUGAGACACGGCCCAAACUCCUACGGGAGGCAGCAGUAGGGAAUCUUCCGCAAUGGACGAAAGUCUGACGGAGCAACGCCGCGGGAGUGAAGAAGGCCUUCGGGUCGUAAAACUCUGUUGCCGGGGAAGAACAAGUGCCGUUCGAACAGGGCGGCGCCUUGACGGUACCCGGCCAGAAAGCCACGGCUAACUACGUG
Molecule: ribosomal RNA, 499 nt
Filed under: uncultured bacterium
Lineage: Bacteria
Description: partial 16S ribosomal RNA
Rfam family: Bacterial small subunit ribosomal RNA
Source: RNAcentral